This is a non-coding RNA of Gasterosteus aculeatus aculeatus (three-spined stickleback), 945 nucleotides long. NCBI's taxonomy places the organism in Eukaryota, Metazoa, Chordata, Actinopteri, Perciformes, Gasterosteidae. The record is from RefSeq and is a predicted model, not a curated record.
CUUCACCACGACCAACAACAACAACAACAACAACAUCAACGUCAGGAGAAAGACGGCGAGCGGAGAGCGAGGUGAAGCUACGUCCCUCGACUAUGUGUGCGUGAUGCUAACAGGAGCGCGGCGAAUGCGAAUGGCGCUAUUGGCUGAUUCGAUAACGGAGAGAAGACGCCGUCGCCGAAGCUUGUGGAGCAUCAGCUGUAAGAUGCCUGGGUGAGCUCAUGACGCUAACGUGCUCAGCCAGACACGCCUGUUAGCAGAAGAACCGAGAGAAAUCGCUCACUUCCUGUUGGGAAGCUGUGGAUCCCAACUGGUCAGUGGAAGCGGCCACACUGGCAUCGAACCUGCCACAGCCAGGUGGUCGUGCCAACAACCGUGGACAGAGGAUCAGAGCCGCCCUCAGAUUACCUGAGUGCAAACCUGCCCCGCGCAGACCUUUAGACGUCUUCAGGACACAACUGCCAGCUGGUCAUAGGUUAGUGGGAAGAUCUACACGUUUCUCAAAGGCUAAGGGCUAGCUAGCAAGUGGCACCCAUGUUAGCUUGGAAAGCUACGGUUAUCAAGUGGGACCCGGGUUAGCCUUACGUUUCAUCAUUGUUACAUUGUUUUCAUCGUCGAUUUAAUUCCUCGCUAGUUAUGUGAAGGUACACAUGUUUCAACACAUAUUAGCACUGCUAACACGUCUCACAAACAGCAUCAGCUAGCAUCUGCUACCUAGCACUUGUUUUAGUGUGAUGCAACUGAAAUGAACUUACCCAUGGUAGUUGGCAACCGAACACCGGAAUCUACGCCGUUGUGCUCUACUAGGGACUCUUGUGUCGUCCAUUGGGUUGUUUGUUUGUUUUCUGCCGGUGUGAGAUGCUCGUAGUGGUGAAAAGAUUCUGUAAACAAUUGUCUUGUGCUAAAAGCCAAGUCGCAGUGGUUGACCCUGAGAUGGAGAGAGAAAGA